UAGCAACGGCCUUUAAACGUGUGGGC
This 26-nucleotide non-coding RNA is filed under the name Mus musculus (house mouse). The record is from RNAcentral. Lineage: Eukaryota; Metazoa; Chordata; Mammalia; Rodentia; Muridae.